CCUACGGGAGGCAGCAGUGGGGAAUAUUGGACAAUGGGGGGAACCCUGAUCCAGCGACGCCGCGUGAGUGAAGAAGUAUUUCGGUAUGUAAAGCUCUAUCAGCAGGGAAGAAAAUGACGGUACCUGACUAAGAAGCCCCGGCUAACUACGUGCCAGCAGCCGCGGUAAUACGUAGGGGGCAAGCGUUAUCCGGAUUUACUGGGUGGAAAGGGAGCGUAGACGGUGCAGCAAGUCUGAUGUGAAAGGUCGGGGCCCAACCCCGGGACUGCAUUUGAAACUGUUGAACUGGAGUACAGGAGAGGUAAGCGGAAUGCCUGGUGUAGCGGUGAAAUGCGUAGAUAUUAGGAGGAACACCAGUGGCGAAGGCGGCUUACUGGACUGUAACUGACGUUGAGGCUCGAAAGCGUGGGGAGCGAACAGGAUUAGAUACCCUAGUAGUC
This 440-nucleotide ribosomal RNA is filed under the name uncultured bacterium. RNAcentral describes it as "partial 16S ribosomal RNA". It matches the Rfam family "Bacterial small subunit ribosomal RNA", at positions 338 to 795 of the family's 1533-position model. The record is from RNAcentral.